This 90-nucleotide transfer RNA is filed under the name Colletotrichum cereale. RNAcentral's name for it is "tRNA-Pro". The record is from RNAcentral. Lineage: Eukaryota; Fungi; Ascomycota; Sordariomycetes; Glomerellales; Glomerellaceae.
GCCCUGAUGGUCUAGCGGUAUGAUUCUCCCUUAGGGUUUUUACAAAUCUUCACCUGGGAGAGGUCCCAGGUUCGAUCCCUGGUUAGGGCC